RNAcentral lists this transfer RNA (73 nucleotides) under Candidatus Doudnabacteria bacterium RIFCSPHIGHO2_01_FULL_50_11. RNAcentral's name for it is "tRNA-Lys". It matches the Rfam family "tRNA". Rfam says of the family: Transfer RNA (tRNA) molecules are approximately 80 nucleotides in length. RNAcentral also lists the same sequence under 2 other names. Lineage: Bacteria; Candidatus Doudnaibacteriota. The record is from RNAcentral.
GGGGCGUUAGCUCAGUCGGUAGAGCAGGUCCCUUUUAAGGACAAGGUCGCAGGUUCGAUCCCUGCACGCCCCA